GACGAACCGUGCGAACGUUGUUCGGAAUCACUGGGCUUAAAGGGCGCGUAGGCGGCUUGCCAAGUCAGGGGUGAAAUCUUUCGGCUUAACCGGAAAAGUGCCUUUGAUACUGGCGAGCUCGAGUGAGGUAGGGGCAGAUGGAACUGUUGGUGGAGCGGUGAAAUGUGUUGAUAUCAACAGGAACGCCGGUGGCGAAGGCGGCAUCCUGGACCGAUAUUGACGCUGAUGCGCGAAAGCCAGGGGAGCAAACGGG
RNAcentral lists this ribosomal RNA (253 nucleotides) under uncultured bacterium. RNAcentral describes it as "partial 16S ribosomal RNA". It matches the Rfam family "Bacterial small subunit ribosomal RNA", at positions 524 to 776 of the family's 1533-position model. The record is from RNAcentral.